RNAcentral lists this ribosomal RNA (349 nucleotides) under Usnea flammea. Its description in RNAcentral is "SSU rRNA". It matches the Rfam family "Bacterial small subunit ribosomal RNA", at positions 369 to 742 of the family's 1533-position model. Lineage: Eukaryota; Fungi; Ascomycota; Lecanoromycetes; Lecanorales; Parmeliaceae. The record is from RNAcentral.
GUAUAGGGGAAACCCUACUUGCAACAUGAAAACUGAUGCAAGAUCCCUUUAGGGUAUAAAGUUCUAGUCAGUACUAUGAUAAUGACAUUCUCUGGCUAUGUGUCUUGACCAAAUUACGUGCCAGCUGUCGCGGUAAUACGUAGAAGACUAGUGUUAUUCAUGUUUAAUCGGUUUAAAGGGUACCUAGACGGCAGAUAAAGCCUUCAAUAAGGGACUAAUCUAGCUAGAGUUACUUAUGAGGAAGCUAUAAAGUACUGCUGGUGUAGAGAUGAAAUUCUGUAAUACCUCUUUCCGCAAUGGGAAACGACGGCACAGGUAAAGGCGAAGGCGUCUUCUUAUGGGAUAACUG